Molecule: ribosomal RNA, 433 nt
Filed under: uncultured bacterium
Lineage: Bacteria
Description: partial 16S ribosomal RNA
Rfam family: Bacterial small subunit ribosomal RNA
Source: RNAcentral
AACGAACGCUGGCGGCAUGCCUAACACAUGCAAGUCGAACGAGACCUUCGGGUCUAGUGGCGCACGGGUGCGUAACGCGUGGGAACCUGCCCUUAGGUUCGGAAUAACUCCCCGAAAGGGGUGCUAAUACCGGAUAAUGUCUUCGGACCAAAGAUUUAUCGCCUUUGGAUGGGCCCGCGUUGGAUUAGCUAGUUGGUAGGGUAAAAGCCUACCAAGGCGACGAUCCAUAGCUGGUCUGAGAGGAUGAUCAGCCACACUGGGACUGAGACACGGCCCAGACUCAUACGGGAGGAAGCAGUGGGGAGUAUUGGACAAUGGGCGAAGGCCUGAUCCAGCAAUGCCGCGUGAGUGAUGAAGGCCUUAGGGUGGUAAAGCUCUUUUACAAGGGAUGAUAAUGACAGUACCGGGAGAAUAAGCUCCGGCUAACUCCGUG